Vulpes vulpes (red fox) is the source of this 108-nucleotide small nuclear RNA. The record is from Ensembl. NCBI's taxonomy places the organism in Eukaryota, Metazoa, Chordata, Mammalia, Carnivora, Canidae.
GUGGUCACUUUGACAGCAUAUAUACUAAAAAUUGGAAUGAUACAGAGAAGAUUAACAUGGCCCCUAUGCAAGAAUGACAUACAAAUUCAUGAAGCAUUCCAUAUUUUA